RNAcentral lists this long non-coding RNA (1613 nucleotides) under Triticum aestivum (bread wheat). RNAcentral's name for it is "long non-coding RNA (TAES_LNC014665)". The record is from RNAcentral. Lineage: Eukaryota; Viridiplantae; Streptophyta; Magnoliopsida; Poales; Poaceae.
AGUUUACAAUCCUCCCAACAUCCAUUCUUGCCAUGGACACCGAAUGUUGUGACGUCAAUUUGGGAGCCACGGGAUGGAUCCCUUUCAGAGUGAUCUAGACGCCCUCGAUGCCUCGACAAUUUCACGGGCGUCUAAAGUGUGAACUGAGGUCAUACUUAUAACUGGUCAGUUUAGUGACAAACCCUACAUUUUAGUUUUUUGUUAUGUGUCCUAUAUGCACUUUUAGUUUUUUAUAGGUGUGGAUAACUUCUUGAAAGCUAAAUCUUCCCAUACUGUAUGUGCUUUUCCGCGAGGUAGACUAAAUUGGCAUCUUGAGGAUUCAUGCUUCAUGUAUCAUACAAGUGAUCCUUUCAUAGCUUCAUCUGUUGCGCUCUUACAUAUCGUAUUCUGCUAUAGAGUAUAAAUAGUACUCUUCCUUGGAGUUGAAUCCAUGUAUCAUGAUUUUUGGUCGAUACAGUCCUAUAGUUCCCCACAAAAAAAGGACUUUGGUUGUGGCUAACUGGGUUCUCUCUGCCUCUCACAAGUUUUGUUUAUUACUAUACUACUAUUAUUUAGUUAGAUAACUUGGACUGUCUGAUAGGAGUUCUUACUGCUAGAGAUGCUAACUGAGUCUCUUUGGCUCUCACAAGUUUGUCCUUGUGUUAUCUCUUAUUCAGGGUAAAAAUAAUGCCCAGAACAAAGAAAUUAUGUAUUAUACUGUACUCAUUAUUGUAGUUAAAGAUUAUCUUCAAAAUUGAUCAUCACUUGGGAUGCUACCAACUUGCAGGGUUCAUGAGACAUUAAAUUUCCAUAUUUCAUUUCCCUCUUCUUCACUUGUUACAAAUAUAUCUUUAACAUUAGAGUUUAAUAUUUGUGUUUUCACAGGUAGGAAUAGACAGGUAAGAUCAGUCACCAGUGAUGGAGUCAUGAGGUUGUUGACGUCAUGCUAAAUGUUGGUGUAGGGCCAAAGGAGAAGAUAUGGUGCAAAAUUCUUGAGCUUGACAUUAUGGUACAAUAUAAAUUUGAGUAUUCUUGCCUAUCAUAGCAGUCUAUAUCCUAUAUCACAUUGCAAAAUUCCAUGAACAAUUGGUCCACAUUAUUUAUCUGUUAUAUUGUUCAUGCCCAAGCAUGGAUGCAGGUGGAUGUGGGCGCCAGGGCCACCAAGGAUGUAGGGGUCGCGCCACAAUGGCCGAGGAUGCGUUAGGCACGCCGAAACUGACGAGGACACGUGAGUCGCACUGCAGCCUUAGUGUUUUUCCUAAUUUCUUUAGGUACCCAAGGUUGAUUUAAUAUUCACAUGUAUGCUGAAAUUUUGACACCAAAGAACCAGCAGUGGAGUUAUACGAAAUUUCUCCCGAGAGUUGUACUACCAUUCUUUUUAGUAUUGAUUGACUAAUUCCCAUGAGAUGCCCCAAAAUUGUAAAUAUGAAUAUGGAUGAUUAAUUAUGAUGCUAAUGAGGUCAUUGGUUCUCAUUAAAAUAGCAGCAUGAAAUAACCCCGCAUAUAUUUGUUGGAUUUUAAAUUGACCCUUUCAACUCAACUAAUAUUUUUAUUUCUACAGUAUUUACUGACUUUUACAUCAUGUUUUGCACGCUAUGGGGAAUGAUUGUAGGUAUUUAUGAAGUAGUCCCCAU